GAGGAUAUAGCUCAGUUUGUAGAGUGCUUGCCUUGCAUGCACAAGGUGCUGGGUUCAAUCCCCAGCACCAUCA
This 73-nucleotide transfer RNA is filed under the name Ictidomys tridecemlineatus (thirteen-lined ground squirrel). Its description in RNAcentral is "Spermophilus tridecemlineatus (thirteen-lined ground squirrel) tRNA". It matches the Rfam family "tRNA". Rfam says of the family: Transfer RNA (tRNA) molecules are approximately 80 nucleotides in length. Their secondary structure includes four short double-helical elements and three loops (D, anti-codon, and T loops). Lineage: Eukaryota; Metazoa; Chordata; Mammalia; Rodentia; Sciuridae. The record is from Rfam by way of RNAcentral.